UACGUAGGUGACCAGCGUUGUCCGGAUUUACUGGGCGUAAAGGGCUCGUAGGCGGCCAACUAAGUCGGACGUGAAAUCCCCAGGCUCAACCUGGGAACUGCGUCCGAUACUGGAUGGCUUGAAUUCGGGAGAGGGAUGCAGAAUUCCAGGUGUAGCGGUGAAAUGCAUAGAUAUCUGGAGGAAUACCGGUGGCGAAGGCGGCAUCCUGGACCGACAUUGACGCUGAGGAGCGAAAGCUAGGGGAGCAAACGGG
This 253-nucleotide ribosomal RNA is filed under the name uncultured bacterium. RNAcentral describes it as "partial 16S ribosomal RNA". It matches the Rfam family "Bacterial small subunit ribosomal RNA", at positions 524 to 776 of the family's 1533-position model. The record is from RNAcentral.